GACGAACGCUGGCGGCGUGCUUAACACAUGCAAGUCGAACGGAAAGGCUCCAGCUUGCUGGAGUACUCGAGUGGCGAACGGGUGAGUAACACGUGGGUAAUCUGCCCUGCACUCUGGGAUAAGCCUGGGAAACUGGGUCUAAUACUGGAUAUGACCUUUCUCCUUAUGGGGUUUGGUGGAAAGUUUUUCGGUGUAGGAUGGGCCCGCGGCCUAUCAGCUUGUUGGUGGGGUGAUGGCCUACCAAGGCGACGACGGGUAGCCGGCCUGAGAGGGUGAUCGGCCACAUUGGGACUGAGAUACGGCCCAGACUCCUACGGGAGGCAGCAGUGGGGAAUAUUGCACAAUGGGCGGAAGCCUGAUGCAGCGACGCCGCGUGAGGGAUGACGGCCUUCGGGUUGUAAACCUCUUUCAGCAGGGACGAAGCGUAAGUGACGGUACCUGCAGAAGAAGCACCGGCUAACUACGUGCCAGCCGCCGCGGUAA
Molecule: ribosomal RNA, 483 nt
Filed under: uncultured bacterium
Lineage: Bacteria
Description: partial 16S ribosomal RNA
Rfam family: Bacterial small subunit ribosomal RNA
Source: RNAcentral